This 346-nucleotide unclassified non-coding RNA is filed under the name Spermacoce stipularis. Its description in RNAcentral is "partial external transcribed spacer". The record is from RNAcentral. Lineage: Eukaryota; Viridiplantae; Streptophyta; Magnoliopsida; Gentianales; Rubiaceae.
ACGGGACCGAAGUCGUUCGAAAUAGGCAUUGAAGCCGUUAUUGCGGACAGAUAGGAGCCGAUGACUCCGUGCCCUCUUCGUUUACUGCAUCCCAGCGCCCGAGCGAGAAUUCAUGGACCACAAGACUGACACAAAUGUGUAGAACGUGGGACACGAAUCUCGUUUCGAGUUUCACCCGCAGCCGCACCGAGUAAACGGUCAGCCUAAGGCGAACGGACAUAGAUUGACAGCCGAAUUCCAUCUAGUAGGUACGAAACACAGGAAACCGGGGGAAGGCCAAUAGAUAUUGUGCCAACAAUGAAGAGGAUAGCAAGAUUGGACGUCGCCGCUCAAGGCAGGGAUCCAA